GCCGGCGACCGGCGCACGGGUGAGUAACGCGUAUGCAACUUACCUAUCAGAGGGGGAUAACCCGGCGAAAGUCGGACUAAUACCGCAUGAAGCAGGGGCCCCGCAUGGGGAUAUUUGCUAAAGAUUCAUCGCUGAUAGAUAGGCAUGCGUUCCAUUAGGCAGUUGGCGGGGUAACGGCCCACCAAACCGACGAUGGAUAGGGGUUCUGAGAGGAAGGUCCCCCACAUUGGUACCGAGACACGGACCAAACUCCUACGGGAGGCAGCAUG
RNAcentral lists this ribosomal RNA (269 nucleotides) under uncultured bacterium. Its description in RNAcentral is "partial 16S ribosomal RNA". It matches the Rfam family "Bacterial small subunit ribosomal RNA", at positions 87 to 353 of the family's 1533-position model. The record is from RNAcentral.